This 283-nucleotide long non-coding RNA is filed under the name Setaria viridis. Its description in RNAcentral is "long non-coding RNA (SVIR_LNC009307)". Lineage: Eukaryota; Viridiplantae; Streptophyta; Magnoliopsida; Poales; Poaceae. The record is from RNAcentral.
UCUAGUGUAAUCAUGCAGUUUUCUUCAUCAAAGAGGGCACCACUCAACUUCUUCAAUCUAUUUAUCUUUGCAUACCUUUUCUACCAUGUUUUCAAAUGAUUCUUAACUUACUCACCAGUGAUCCUUGUGGUGAACUUCUCAUUGAUAGCCCUAGCACAAGCAUUGAAAAGGUGUUUCUUAAAUGCCUUUGAUGUCUUCAAACCAGCAGCCACCAAAUCAUUUAGGUGAGAGAGCAUUAAAGCAGACAUUGCUGAUGUCCACGUAGCAUGCCCACUAGUCCCAC